AUACAUGCAGUCGAGCGAACAGAAGGGAGCUUGCUCCCGGAUGUUAGCGGCGGACGGGUGAGUAACACGUGGGUAACCUGCCUGUAAGACUGGGAUAACUCCGGGAAACCGGAGCUAAUACCGGAUAGUUCCUUGAACCGCAUGGUUCAAGGAUGAAAGACGGUUUCGGCUGUCACUUACAGAUGGACCCGCGGCGCAUUAGCUAGUUGGUGGGGUAAUGGCUCACCAAGGCGACGAUGCGUAGCCGACCUGAGAGGGUGAUCGGCCACACUGGGACUGAGACACGGCCCAGACUCCUACGGGAGGCAGCAGUAGGGAAUCUUCCGCAAUGGACGAAAGUCUGACGGAGCAACGCCGCGUGAGUGAUGAAGGUUUUCGGAUCGUAAAGCUCUGUUGUUAGGGAAGAACAAGUGCGAGAGUAACUGCUCGCACCUUGACGGUACCUAACCAGAAAGCCACGGCUAACUACGUGCCAGCAGCCGCGGUAAUACGUAGGUGGCAAGCGUUGUCCGGAAUUAUUGGGCGUAAAGGGCUCGCAGGCGGUUUCUUAAGUCUGAUGUGAAAGCCCCCGGCUCAACCGGGGAGGGUCAUUGGAAACUGGGAAACUUGAGUGCAGAAGAGGAGAGUGGAAUUCCACGUGUAGCGGUGAAAUGCGUAGAGAUGUGGAGGAACACCAGUGGCGAAGGCGACUCUCUGGUCUGUAACUGACGCUGAGGAGCGAAAGCG
RNAcentral lists this ribosomal RNA (726 nucleotides) under Bacillus safensis. RNAcentral describes it as "bacterial SSU rRNA". It matches the Rfam family "Bacterial small subunit ribosomal RNA", at positions 51 to 761 of the family's 1533-position model. The record is from RNAcentral. Lineage: Bacteria; Bacillati; Bacillota; Bacilli; Caryophanales; Bacillaceae.